GAGUUUGAUCGUGGCUCAGGACGAACGCUGGCGGCGUGCCUAAUACAUGCAAGUCGAGCGAGUCUCUUCGGAGGCUAGCGGCGGACGGGUGAGUAACACGUAGGCAACCUGCCUCUCAGACCGGGAUAACAUAGGGGAAACUUAUGCUAAUACCGGAUAGGUUUUUGGAUUGCAUGAUCCGAAAAGAAAGAUGGCUUUUCGCUAUCACUGGGAGAUGGGCCUGCGGCGCAUUAGCUAGUUGGUGGGUACGGCUACCAAGGCGACGAUGCGUAGCCGACCUGAGAGGGUGACCGGCCACACUGGGACUGAGACACGGGCCCAGGACUCCUACGGGAGGCCAGCAGUAGGGAAUUUUCCACAA
RNAcentral lists this ribosomal RNA (361 nucleotides) under uncultured microorganism. RNAcentral describes it as "bacterial SSU rRNA". It matches the Rfam family "Bacterial small subunit ribosomal RNA", at positions 9 to 371 of the family's 1533-position model. The record is from RNAcentral.